Non-coding RNA from Mauremys reevesii (Reeves's turtle), 574 nucleotides. The record is from the annotation of a RefSeq genome assembly. NCBI's taxonomy places the organism in Eukaryota, Metazoa, Chordata, Testudines, Geoemydidae.
GCAGCCCCUGGGUCUGUGCAGUGACCAGCCAAUCCCCCGGGAACUUUCCUCUCCAGCGCCAGGCAAAAUGAGACCUUGGAUCGCAGCUGUUUUCAUUGUAGCAGCUUUGGAAGGUGUCCGGUCUCAGGCGCAGCUGGUAGAGUCUGGUGGAGAUGUGAAAAAACCUGGAGACUCUCUCCGCCUCUCCUGCAAAGCCUCUGGCUUCACCUUCAGCAGCUAUCAAAUGGCUUGGGUCCGACAGGCCCCCGGGAAGGGGCUGGAGUGGGUUGCUCAGAUUAGCACGGAUGGAUCGAGCCAGUGGUAUUUGCCUGCUGUGAAAGGCCGAUUCACCAUCUCCAGGGACAACUCCAACAACCUGCUGUAUCUGCAACUGACCGGCCUGAAGCCCGAGGACACCGCCCGCUAUUACUGUGCGAGAGAGACACACACAGAUUAAGCCUGUGGAUGCUCGUACAAAAACCAGAGCUGCGGAACUUCCCGCGGCUGCCGCAUGGGGGCAGCAACGACACAAGCAAAACUCUCCUGCCUGGGGCGCAAGAGGGGGAGGGGCCUCAGGACUGAAAACUCCGACAUC